UUAGAAAUUUUGGCUUGGUAGCGUAUAUUUGGGGUAAUAAGACAGCAUGUUUGAUUUUUGCAAACCUGUAUAUCCCUUGAGAGGUCUAGUACUCUGUGUUUUUGCAAGCUUCCCUCUAUUGUAUACAUUCUUUUCUGUUUUAUUAAUUAAGCUUAGUUUUGUGUCUUCAGAAAUUUGCUCCAUUAAUUUCAGGUUUCAGGAAACUCAUUCCAAAA
This 215-nucleotide unclassified non-coding RNA is filed under the name Hevea brasiliensis (rubber tree). The record is from RNAcentral. Lineage: Eukaryota; Viridiplantae; Streptophyta; Magnoliopsida; Malpighiales; Euphorbiaceae.